AACAAAAACAUGUCCUUUUGUUGUUUAUUUAAGGUUUAACCUGCCCACUGAAAUUUAUAUUUUAAAUGGCCGCAGUAAUUUGACUGUGCAAAGGUAGCAUAAUCAUUAGUUUUUUAAUUGAAAGCUUGUAUGAAAGGUUGGACGAAGUAUUAUCUGUCUCUAUUUAAUUUGUUAUAGAAAUUAAUUUUUAAGUUAAAAAGCUUAAAUAUUUAUAAAAGACGAGAAGACCCUAUAAAUCUUUAUAUUAUUUUAAAUUAUUUUAAUUAGGAUUCUUUAGUUUGUAAAUUUUUAAAUAAUAUUUUAUUGGGGUAAUAGAGUGAUUAAAAUAAUUCAUUUUUAUUUUUUACAUUAAUUUAUGUUUUUUUGAUCCAAUAAGGUUUGAUUAUAAGAUUAAGUUACUUUAGGGAUAACAGCGUAAUUUUUUUAAAGAGUUCAUAUCGAUAAGAAAGUUUGCGACCUCGAUGUUG
Molecule: ribosomal RNA, 467 nt
Filed under: Madaglymbus sp. BI-2011
Lineage: Eukaryota; Metazoa; Arthropoda; Insecta; Coleoptera; Dytiscidae
Description: partial 16S ribosomal RNA
Rfam family: Bacterial large subunit ribosomal RNA
Source: RNAcentral